Molecule: RNA transcript, 2380 nt
Organism: Xyrauchen texanus (razorback sucker)
Lineage: Eukaryota; Metazoa; Chordata; Actinopteri; Cypriniformes; Catostomidae
Gene: babam1
Gene name: BRISC and BRCA1 A complex member 1
Exons: 9
Source: RefSeq, a predicted model, not a curated record
GUUUUGAUUGUCACAGAAGCAGAAUCGAAUGAGGAAGUGCUGGAAAAUAAUAUUGUCGAAUCAUUGAAUUAGAUCCGAGAUUUUCUAAUAAACUCAUAUUUGCAUCUGUUGAAUGUUUGGUUGCCAUGGAGACCCCUGAGCCCAGUCAGGCAGAUGGUGAGGAGCGGAUGAUGGAUCUAAGGCCCAGAACCCGGUCAAACCCAGAGGGCGCAGAAGACCGGCGCAGCAGCAAUGGCAGCCUCAAUAACAGCCUUCCGUCCCCCCCGCAGCCGGCCGUGGGCAGUCGUGUGGAGGGGGAGGGAGAGGCAGCCAGCUCUGAUACCCCCCCGACUUCUGCCACCGCAAUCACGACCACUGCACCUGCCCUCGUCUCUGCGGCAGGAAACGCCACGAUCAGCAUGCCUGCAAUGGCAUCUACAACGAAGGAAAGACCUAAACCAUCUCAGCCAUCCCUGCCCACCCAGAUACCCCCGUCUGCAGAGUUGCACCUGCGUGCACCACGUGUCAACUGCCCAGAGAAAGUGAUCAUAUGUUUAGACCUUUCAGAAGAGAUGUCUCUACAAAAACUGGAGUCCUUCAAUGGAUCCAAGACAAAUGCGUUAAAUAUUUCACAGAAAAUGAUCGAGAUGUUUGUGAGAACCAAGCACAAGAUAGACAAGAGGCAUGAGUUUGCUCUGGUGGUGAUUAAUGAUGAUGCCAUGUGGUUAUCAGGAUUCACCUCUGAUCCACGAGAGCUUUGCAGCUUUCUGUAUGACCUUGAGACCAACGUCUGCGAGUCCUUCAAUCUGGAGGAUCUCCUCAAUGUAAUUUUGCAGAAAAUUGAACUUCCACAGAUGGAGAACAUUCAAACUAUCCCGCCUCCCUUUGUAGUCCGAACUCUCCUUAUAUUCAGUCGGCAUGCUGGCAUGCUUCAGUUCAACCCCUCUGAUGCCAUCAAAUCAUUCUGGUGUACACACUUUCAGGAGUAUCAACUACACGACCAUUCAUCCCAGACUGAGGCCAUGUGUACAAAGGUAUUAACAUUAAUGUAAUAGAUAAAGUACGGGCAAAGAGGAGGUAGGAACCUGCUGAACAGUAAACAUAAAGUUUAGAAGAAACUCAACAUAAAACAGACACAUGCAACGUGAUCAUGUGCGUCUCUCUCCCUUGAUUUAUCGCCUCCGUCUCCCCUUUAUCUCACUUUCCCACUGAUCAGCUGAUUCAGCCCCACCCGUGCAUCAUCAUGGCCCGGCCACGCCCUCCUACCUCAUCACAAUUAGUUUUGGGUAUCCGAUCACAAAUGUACAAGCGAGACAUCACCAUUACACCUGGUCGUCUCUUUUAACCACAUCUCUGAUUUCAUGAGGACAUACAUCAAUCAUUACGUCUUUGUUUUACUGAAUGAUAAUAAAUAGCUAAAAUGUGAAAGACGGGAAAGAAAGCACUAAAAACCGAUGCACAGUUUCUCUUAAUUUUUCAAAACAUGAAAUUUUGGAGCUGAAUUCUUUGCAGUACAUGUAACUGAGAUUCUAAUGCACAUGAUGCUCAUAUCUGUGUCCCUAUUGUGCAUGUUCAUGCUAUAACUUUUUUAAAUUUCCAAUCUUAUGCUUAUUUCAGCUGCCUUUAGCAUUGUCCAAUUUAAAAUGGAUUGUCCAAAAUGCAUUUUAAAAUUAUGAUAAUGAAAGGAGAUGAUGUUUUGUUUUUUGAUGUUUUAUCCAGCUUCUCAAUAAAAUUCUCUCCUCUUGCACUCUGCAUUUCAUUGGCUCAUUGUUGGUCUCUUGCUCGUCGGGACAGUGUCAAGCUGAUUUGAAAUCUGUAGGAGCACCUGGGUCUAGUCUCUGUAUGUUGCAGGAGUGCACACAAUAACCGACCAUUCAUUAGGAGAUCUGGGACUUCUCGUCACAGACCAGUAGGCGACUAAAAACAUCAAGGGAGACGAGCUGGAGUCCUGUAGUGUACACAGUUAUACAGACUUAGAGUGGGAAUGGGACAUGGUCUGAGAGGCUGUUAAACAGAAUCUGUUAUUAAAGACUGUGUUGUUAUACAACUAACUGUAUGUUCUAGUGUCUGAGAGGUGUAAAUGUAGCUAAAUCAAUGUGUUUUAAACAAAAGCAUAUCAGUGUGGAUGUGGCCAGAGAGAGAUGUAUUGAUUGAUUGAUAGAUGGAUGGAUAGACAUACAUAUACUAUUAAUCUAUUUUGAGAAACUUUGUGAAAAAUAGCAUUUUCUUCAUGUUGUUCUCUUCCUCUCCAGAAAAUGCUGCAGUCUCCCUAUUUUUUCUUUGAUGUUGUUUAUCUUCAUAAUGGAACUGAAGAGCAGACAGAGGACACUAGCUGGAAGGACGUGUAUGCCUCCUUCAGUGAGUUGGACUCUAAGGGGAUGUGCUAUCGUUUUGAGGUGUC